RNAcentral lists this transfer RNA (75 nucleotides) under Stomatobaculum longum. RNAcentral's name for it is "tRNA-Glu". It matches the Rfam family "tRNA". From Rfam's summary of the family: Transfer RNA (tRNA) molecules are approximately 80 nucleotides in length. The record is from RNAcentral. Lineage: Bacteria; Bacillati; Bacillota; Clostridia; Lachnospirales; Lachnospiraceae.
GGCCCCAUGGUCAAGCGGUUAAGACAUCGCCCUUUCACGGCGGUAACACGAGUUCGAACCUCGUUGGGGUCACUA